Molecule: non-coding RNA, 131 nt
Organism: Salmonella enterica subsp. enterica serovar Newport
Lineage: Bacteria; Pseudomonadati; Pseudomonadota; Gammaproteobacteria; Enterobacterales; Enterobacteriaceae
Source: Rfam
AUAUCUCUCUUACGGGAAGGAUGAGAAGCUUCGACUAAGGUUCGAUUCGAGCGAAAGCGAGAAAGCGUUGCCGCAGGCAACGACCCGAAGGGCGAAGCGCGCAGCGCUGAGUCAUCCUUCCCCCACCACCA